This 468-nucleotide ribosomal RNA is filed under the name uncultured bacterium. RNAcentral describes it as "bacterial SSU rRNA". It matches the Rfam family "Bacterial small subunit ribosomal RNA", at positions 27 to 507 of the family's 1533-position model. The record is from RNAcentral.
GGACGAACGCUGGCGGCGUGCCUAACACAUGCAAGUCGAACGGACGAGAUGGCUUCGGCCAUCGAGUUAGUGGCGGACGGGUGAGUAACGCGUGAGCAACCUGCCUCACAGAGGGGGAUAACACACGGAAACGUGUGCUAAUACCGCAUAAUUCAUACUUGUGGCAUCACGGGUAUGGCAAAGGAGCAAUCCGCUGUGAGAUGGGCUCGCGUCCGAUUAGAUAGUUGGCGGGGUAACGGCCCACCAAGUCUGCGAUCGGUAGCCGGACUGAGAGGUUGAUCGGCCACAUUGGGACUGAGACACGGCCCAAACUCCUACGGGAGGCAGCAGUGAGGGAUAUUGCACAAUGGGCGAAAGCCUGAUGCAGCAACGCCGCGUGAGGGAUGACGGUCUUCGGAUUGUAAACCUCUGUCCUCAGUGAAGAAGAAAGUGACGGUAGCUGAGGAGGAAGCCACGGCUAACUACGUG